CCUACGGGAGGCUGCAGUGGGGGAUAUUGGACAAUGGGGGAAACCCUGAUCCAGCGACGCCGCGUGAGUGAAGAAGUAUUUCGGUAUGUAAAGCUCUAUCAGCAGGGAAGAAAGAAAUGACGGUACCUGAGUAAGAAGCCCCGGCUAACUACGUGCCAGCAGCCGCGGUAAUACGUAGGGGGCAAGCGUUAUCCGGAAUUACUGGGUGUAAAGGGAGCGUAGACGGUAAUGCAAGUCUGGAGUGAAAGGCGGGGGCCCACCCCCCGGACUGCUCUGGAAACUGUGUAACUGGAGUGCAGGAGAGGCAGGCGGAAUUCCUAGUGUAGCGGUGAAAUGCGUAGAUAUUAGGAGGAACCCCGAUUGCGAAGGCAGCUUACUAAACUGUGACUGACAUUGAUGCUCGAAAGUGUGGGUAUCAAACAGGAUUAGAUACCCGAGUAGUC
RNAcentral lists this ribosomal RNA (443 nucleotides) under uncultured bacterium. RNAcentral describes it as "partial 16S ribosomal RNA". It matches the Rfam family "Bacterial small subunit ribosomal RNA", at positions 338 to 795 of the family's 1533-position model. The record is from RNAcentral.